RNAcentral lists this unclassified non-coding RNA (297 nucleotides) under Emmonsiellopsis sp. RNAcentral's name for it is "partial contains 5.8S ribosomal RNA, internal transcribed spacer 2, and large subunit ribosomal RNA". The stretch from base 1 to 71 matches the Rfam family "5.8S ribosomal RNA", at positions 84 to 154 of the family's 154-position model. Lineage: Eukaryota; Fungi; Ascomycota; Eurotiomycetes; Onygenales; Ajellomycetaceae. The record is from RNAcentral.
GUGAGUCAUCGAAUCUUUGAACGCAUAUUGCGCCCUCUGGUAUUCCGGGGGGCAUGCCUGUCCGAGCGUCAUUGCUACCCUCAAGCAUGGCUUGUGUGUUGGGCCCUGUCUUCUGUAGACUAGCCUAAAAACAAGUGGCGUUGCCAUGUCCGGUGCCCGAGCGUAUGGGGCUUUGUCACUCGCUCUGCAUGGCCCCGGCGGCUCUACGCCAGCUAAAUGUAGAAUCAUCUCCUCCAUAGUUGACCUCGGAUCAGGUAGGGAUACCCGCUGAACUUAAGCAUAUCAAUAAGCGGAGGA